This 438-nucleotide ribosomal RNA is filed under the name uncultured bacterium. RNAcentral's name for it is "bacterial SSU rRNA". It matches the Rfam family "Bacterial small subunit ribosomal RNA", at positions 29 to 514 of the family's 1533-position model. The record is from RNAcentral.
AACGAACGCUGGCGGCAUGCCUAACACAUGCAAGUCGAACGAGACCUUCGGGUCUAGUGGCGCACGGGUGCGUAACGCGUGGGAACCUGCCUUUAGGUUCGGAAUAACUCAGAGAAAUUUGAGCUAAUACCGGAUAAUGUCUUCGGACCAAAGAUUUAUCGCCUUUAGAUGGGCCCGCGUAAGAUUAGCUAGUUGGUGGGGUAAAGGCCUACCAAGGCGACGAUCUUUAGCUGGUCUGAGAGGAUGAUCAGCCACACUGGGACUGAGACACGGCCCAGACUCCUACGGAGGCAGCAGUGGGGAAUAUUGGACAAUGGGCGAAAGCCUGAUCCAGCAAUGCCGCGUGAGUGAUGAAGGCCUAGGGUUGUAAAGCUCUUUUACCCGAGAUGAUAAUGACAGUAUCGGGAGAAUAAGCUCCGGCUAACUCCGUGCCAGCAG